ACUCACUAUAACCUCAAACUCCUGGGCUCAAGCAAUCCUCCCACCUCAGCCUCCGGAGUAGCUGGGACUACAGCUCUGCUGCCCCCUGCCCCAUACACGUGAUGGAGCAGAAAACGUGCUGUGUGAACCUGUGACUUCAGGGCCUGUUGACGUGGUCGUGCUUGCAUACUCUCUGGACUGGACCUCACUGUGGGAACAACAAGAUCAACAAGAGGAGCAAGAACAACAUCAAGAGUCAGGGCCCGGGGGUCCUGACGGGUACAGGAUGGGUACAGACCCACACAGGAAUCCCAGAGUGUGUUCCACAGCAGGACACGCCUGCGCUGAAAGAGUGGGCAGAAAGGAGCUGACCUGGGAUUAUGAUCCAAACUCAGCUGGGCCUCCCCUACCUGCCCCAGGAUUGUGGAGUGAGAACGUUGCAGCAGGGGAGAACAACGCAGCAAAGCACAGCAGGGGAACCGGAAAUGCUCACCCUUUGACAGGACCAAACCAAUGCACAACUCCUACGUACUGAUGGUGGUCUUACGUUUCCCUAAGUUUCUGCCGACUAAACUGUGCACACGUUCUCAGGACCUCCUGAAGCUGCGUCACAGGCGCUGAUCAAAGAACACAACCAAGAGUUUGGCCUUUUCUUCAGCACUGGGAAUUGUGAUCCAAAGCUUUUCCUGAUGAGGCACAAAGUUGGAGAAACAAAACGCAAACUAAGCAACAAUGAAACAGAACAGAGUGAAUCUGCUGUAGCUCAAGAGAGGACGUAGCUGCCCCCACCCCGCAUCCCCGGGCUCGGGUUUGCCUUGCUGACCUCUGCUGCCACCUGGUGCCGCACAGAGAAACUGAGGAGAAACCACAUCAGUCUCCUUCAGCCUCAGCUUCACAUCUGUGGGUCAAGCAACCCUUUCAGAAGCU
This is a long non-coding RNA of Homo sapiens (human), 906 nucleotides long. The record is from Ensembl. Lineage: Eukaryota; Metazoa; Chordata; Mammalia; Primates; Hominidae.